CCCUUAGAUGUCCUGGGCCGCACGCGCGCUACACUAACAUGUUCAACAAGCCUCCUAGUUCGACAGGAUUUGGGAAAUCUUUGAACGCAUGUCGUGAUAGGGAUAGAUCAUUGCAAUUAUUGAUCUUGAACGAGGAAUUCCUAGUAAACGCGAGUCAUCAGCUCGCAUUGAUUACGUCCCUGCCCUUUGUACACACCGCCCGUCGCACCUACCGAUUGAAUGUUUCGGUGAAGAUUCCGGAUAGGACUUUUUUGAUUUAUUUCAAUUCUGUCUUAAAAGCUAUCUAAACCUCAACAUUUAGAGGAAGGUGAAGUCGUAACA
RNAcentral lists this ribosomal RNA (321 nucleotides) under uncultured eukaryote. Its description in RNAcentral is "partial 18S ribosomal RNA". It matches the Rfam family "Eukaryotic small subunit ribosomal RNA", at positions 1470 to 1796 of the family's 1831-position model. The record is from RNAcentral.